RNAcentral lists this ribosomal RNA (618 nucleotides) under uncultured bacterium. RNAcentral's name for it is "bacterial SSU rRNA". It matches the Rfam family "Bacterial small subunit ribosomal RNA", at positions 74 to 711 of the family's 1533-position model. The record is from RNAcentral.
AUGAAGACUUUUGUGACUGAGCGGCGGACGGGUGAGUAACGCGUGGGUAACCUGCCUCAUACAGGGGGAUAACAGUUAGAAAUGGCUGCUAAUACCGCAUAAGACCACAGUACUGCAUGGUACGGUGGUAAAAACUCCGGUGGUAUGAGAUGGACCCGCGUCUGAUUAGGUAGUUGGUGAGGUAACGGCCCACCAAGCCGACGAUCAGUAGCCGACCUGAGAGGGUGACCGGCCACAUUGGGACUGAGACACGGCCCAGACUCCUACGGGAGGCAGCAGUGGGGAAUAUUGCACAAUGGGCGAAAGCCUGAUGCAGCGACGCCGCGUGAAGGAUGAAGUAUUUCGGUAUGUAAACUUCUAUCAGCAGGGAAGAAAAUGACGGUACCUGACUAAGAAGCCCCGGCUAACUACGUGCCAGCAGCCGCGGUAAUACGUAGGGGGCAAGCGUUAUCCGGAUUUACUGGGUGUAAAGGGAGCGUAGACGGCUGUGCAAGUCUGAAGUGAAAGGCAUGGGCUCAACCUGUGGACUGCUUUGGAAACUGUGCAGCUAGAGUGUCGGAGAGGUAAGUGGAAUUCCUAGUGUAGCGGUGAAAUGCGUAGAUAUUAGGAGGAACACCA